CCUGGUGCCCAUGCUCAGAAUGGCGUUGCUGAGCGUAAGCAUCGCCAUAUUGUUGAGACAACUCGUACCCUUCUGAUUUCUUCCUUUGUCCCCACUCAUUUUUGGGGUGAAGCUAUCUCAACUGCUGUUUAUCUUAUCAAUCUUCAACCUUCUACUCGUCUUGAGGGCAAGUGUCCUAGUGAGGUUUUGUUUGGUUCUCCUCCCACGUAUGACCACCUCCGUGUCUUUGGUUGUACUUGUUAUGUUCUUUUAGCACCUCGUGAGCGUACCAAGUUGACUGCUCAGUCUGCUCAGUGUGUC
RNAcentral lists this ribosomal RNA (300 nucleotides) under Triticum aestivum (bread wheat). RNAcentral's name for it is "partial small subunit ribosomal RNA". Lineage: Eukaryota; Viridiplantae; Streptophyta; Magnoliopsida; Poales; Poaceae. The record is from RNAcentral.